CGUCUACCUCUGGUUGUGAUUCAACAAGUCCAAAAUUUCUUCUUUCCAAACGGAUCCAAUCUCUGAAAAGUACUGAUUUUUCCAAGCUUUCCCUCAUAAACGCUCUAUAAUCACCGAGUUGAAGUCUUGCUUGACUGAAACCGCUCUCCGAUACCGCUGUUAAAUCUUGAAUAUUUCAUCCUUGUAUUUCUCUUUAUUUGUCUUAAAAAGAAAAGAAUUAGAAAAUGAAACGAAAAAACAAGAGCCAAUUAGAAAUGACCAAGUUGGAAAAACAGAGACAUUGUUUGCAAAAUAGACCUGGGCAAAGGCCGAGAGAGAGAGCAUCCAUAGCUUGGAUCUCUUCCUAAAAUAGAAGCUUCACCAACGACCUCCACUGGUAGCUCCUCCCUAAACAGCCACCAAACAUCACCUUCAACAAAAACCCAGCCAUAAACACCCAAAAACCAGCAGCUGUUGAGCCCCUAAAACCACCACCAAACAGUCCUCGCAACUCAGCAAAAUCAGCCCCGAAAACCAUCCGCAAACCAGCUAAAACGUAUAGCAGCAACAUCUGCGAGAAACCAGCUGAAAAUUCCAUGAAAACCUAGCUGAAAACCAGCCAAAACUGACCUCAGAACUGCUGCAGAACGACCCUUUAAACCACCUAAAACUGUCUCUGUCUUCACCGUAAAACACCCAUCCAUUCCGGCGAAAACCAGUUGAGUAACCAAACUCUGUCGAAGAUCAGGCGAGGCUUCUAUCUCGAGGUUCCGGUGCGUAGCUUUGGCUUUCAGUCCGACGAUCGUUGCUCAGUUUGGCAUGAUUGAGUUGUAAAUUUUCAGUUUUGGUUCAUCACUAUAAAGGUCCAUCUCUAACUUUUUUUUAAAAUUAAUAUUGGUUGUUAUCCUUUUGAGUUUGAAUAAAUAUUGCGCACAUUAUGGAUAUUGUUUAAUCUUUGAGUUUUAGCUUUGUGUUUAUAUUACUACUAUCUCGACUUGGCAUGUUAAAUGGAAGCUUUGUUUGAAGGUUUUUCUAUUAAACUACAAAGGCAGUAGCUAGAAUCCGGUUCUCUUUUGUGAUCGCCUCUUUGAUAUCUUGGAUUAGCAUGUUGAAGUAUUAAUUUUAAAGUUGGGACCGUAGUUUGCUCUUAAAAAUUCUCUGUCAUUUUCUUCAAUUACAAAAGAAUUCCUAUGUCUGUUCAAUAUUUUGUUCAAGUUUUAUGCUAGUUUCCCGUUUCAUUGCUUAGUUGUAGCACUAUGGAUGGGUUGUUGGGCCAAGGUUAAUACAUGACCAGUUGGGCCUAACUAAGGGUGUCAUGUGGGUCGGUUAGGAUCGGGACCGAUCCAGGACCGCAAGCCCACAUGGGCGGUGGGCCUAAACAGUCCUAACCGGAUAGGACGGGGAUCGUGGGGAGGUGGGCCGGGUAGUGGGCUGGUCUCAUAGGCGAGGCCCGCGAGACCGGGAUCGUUUGGGAUCGGGACCGGCUGAAAAGUGGGCCGGUUCAAGCGGUCCUAUCCGGGCCCAACGGAUAUUUUUUUAAACAAAAAAUGACCGUUUGGCCAUUUAAAAUCUAGCCGUUUGGUCUGCCAAAAUAGCCAUUUAACCCCCCAAAUUUUAUUUUAACCCCAAACUUUUUAUAAUUAUAUUUUUUUCCCUAUUUUCAACUAUAAAUACUCCCUCAUUCUUUCAUUUUUCUCACAAAAUCAUCAAUCUCUCUCUAAUAUUCUUCUAUAAUUGAUUACUUAAUUGUUACAAUUUGUGCAAAAUUGUGAAGUUGAUGAAUUGAAGUCUUCAAGUCUUCAACGAUAAUUAUUUUUCAACAAGUUGUUCGUCAAUUUGGUAAACUCGUUCCAACUCUUAAGUUUUAAUAUUAUAGUUUGUUUGUUUUAUUUACUUUGCUUGAUUAAUUAAGAUGACCUAUUCCUUAAAAAAAUGUUUAGUAAAAAUAAGGAAAAAUUCAAGAGUGGUGAAUCUAGUGGCCAGUUAAAAUGAGGGGUUGUCUAAACUUCCGGACGCAAUAGCCUCAAUUAAAAUAAAUGUUUAAACUAUUUAUAAUACUUAUCACGUUGCAUUAGAUCAUGCUAGACCAAAUGUUCCUACUCCUUUUUCUUCUAGUUCUCAAUCAUCUAAAAGAAUUGCGGGAGUAAGAGCACUUAGUGCUUGGGCAGGGUUCAGGGGUUCUCAAGGUUCUAGUACUAGUGAUUUUUCACAACUAAAUGAGCUUGAAGUUUAUUUGUCACAGGGAAUUGAGGAAGUGAAUCCCGACUACUCCUUUAAUAUUUUGGAAUGGUGGAAGGACAAAAAAAAUACUUUCUGAUUCUUUCAAGGAUGGCCCGAGACAUUUUAACUAUUCAAGCUUCAACAGUGGUAUCAGAGAGCGCUUGCAGUCAAGCAAGACUUCAACUCGGUGAUUAUAGAGCGUCUAUGAGGGAGAGCUUGGAGAAAUCAGNN
This 2430-nucleotide long non-coding RNA is filed under the name Nicotiana tabacum (common tobacco). Its description in RNAcentral is "long non-coding RNA (NTAB_LNC018308)". The record is from RNAcentral. Lineage: Eukaryota; Viridiplantae; Streptophyta; Magnoliopsida; Solanales; Solanaceae.